This 1531-nucleotide ribosomal RNA is filed under the name Escherichia coli. Its description in RNAcentral is "bacterial SSU rRNA". It matches the Rfam family "Bacterial small subunit ribosomal RNA". The record is from RNAcentral. Lineage: Bacteria; Pseudomonadati; Pseudomonadota; Gammaproteobacteria; Enterobacterales; Enterobacteriaceae.
AGAGUUUGAUCAUGGCUCAGAUUGAACGCUGGCGGCAGGCCUAACACAUGCAAGUCGAACGGUAACAGGAAACAGCUUGCUGUUUCGCUGACGAGUGGCGGACGGGUGAGUAAUGUCUGGGAAACUGCCUGAUGGAGGGGGGAUAACUACUGGAAACGGUAGCUAAUACCGCAUAACGUCGCAAGACCAAAGAGGGGGACCUUCGGGCCUCUUGCCAUCGGAUGUGCCCAGAUGGGAUUAGCUUGUUGGUGGGGUAACGGCUCACCAAGGCGACGAUCCCUAGCUGGUCUGAGAGGAUGACCAGCCACACUGGAACUGAGACACGGUCCAGACUCCUACGGGAGGCAGCAGUGGGGAAUAUUGCACAAUGGGCGCAAGCCUGAUGCAGCCAUGCCGCGUGUAUGAAGAAGGCCUUCGGGUUGUAAAGUACUUUCAGCGGGGAGGAAGGGAGUAAAGUUAAUACCUUUGCUCAUUGACGUUACCCGCAGAAGAAGCACCGGCUAACUCCGUGCCAGCAGCCGCGGUAAUACGGAGGGUGCAAGCGUUAAUCGGAAUUACUGGGCGUAAAGCGCACGCAGGCGGUUUGUUAAGUCAGAUGUGAAAUCCCCGGGCUCAACCUGGGAACUGCAUCUGAUACUGGCAAGCUUGAGUCUCGUAGAGGGGGGUAGAAUUCCAGGUGUAGCGGUGAAAUGCGUAGAGAUCUGGAGGAAUACCGGUGGCGAAGGCGGCCCCCUGGACGAAGACUGACGCUCAGGUGCGAAAGCGUGGGGAGCAAACAGGAUUAGAUACCCUGGUAGUCCACGCCGUAAACGAUGUCGACUUGGAGGUUGUGCCCUUGAGGCGUGGCUUCCGGAGCUAACGCGUUAAGUCGACCGCCUGGGGAGUACGGCCGCAAGGUUAAAACUCAAAUGAAUUGACGGGGGCCCGCACAAGCGGUGGAGCAUGUGGUUUAAUUCGAUGCAACGCGAAGAACCUUACCUGGUCUUGACAUCCACGGAAGUUUUCAGAGAUGAGAAUGUGCCUUCGGGAACCGUGAGACAGGUGCUGCAUGGCUGUCGUCAGCUCGUGUUGUGAAAUGUUGGGUUAAGUCCCGCAACGAGCGCAACCCUUAUCCUUUGUUGCCAGCGGUCCGGCCGGGAACUCAAAGGAGACUGCCAGUGAUAAACUGGAGGAAGGUGGGGAUGACGUCAAGUCAUCAUGGCCCUUACGACCAGGGCUACACACGUGCUACAAUGGCGCAUACAAAGAGAAGCGACCUCGCGAGAGCAAGCGGACCUCAUAAAGUGCGUCGUAGUCCGGAUUGGAGUCUGCAACUCGACUCCAUGAAGUCGGAAUCGCUAGUAAUCGUGGAUCAGAAUGCCACGGUGAAUACGUUCCCGGGCCUUGUACACACCGCCCGUCACACCAUGGGAGUGGGUUGCAAAAGAAGUAGGUAGCUUAACCUUCGGGAGGGCGCUUACCACUUUGUGAUUCAUGACUGGGGUGAAGUCGUAACAAGGUAACCGUAGGGGAACCUGCGGUUGGAUCACCU